RNAcentral lists this ribosomal RNA (192 nucleotides) under uncultured bacterium. RNAcentral describes it as "partial 16S ribosomal RNA". It matches the Rfam family "Bacterial small subunit ribosomal RNA", at positions 1307 to 1500 of the family's 1533-position model. The record is from RNAcentral.
GCAACUCGACUGCAUGAAGCUGGAAUCGCUAGUAAUCGUGAAUCAGAAUGUCACGGUGAAUACGUUCUCGGGCCUUGUACACACCGCCCGUCACACCAUGGGAGUCGGUAACACCCGAAGUCUGUAGCCUGACGCAAGAGGGCGCAGCCGAAGGUGGGAUUGAUGACUGGGGUGAAGUCGUAACAAGGUAAC